UACGGGGGGGGCAAGCGUUGUUCGGAAUUAUUGGGCGUAAAGGGCGCGUAGGCGGUGCGGCAAGUCUCCUGUGAAAUCUCCCGGCUCAACUGGGAGGGUGCGCCGAAUACUGAGAGGCUAGAGUGUGGGAGAGGAAAGUGGAAUUCCUGGUGUAGCGGUGAAAUGCGUAGAUAUCAGGAGGAACACCGGUGGUGUAAACGGCUUUCUGGACCAUAACUGACGCUGAGGCACGAAAGCGUGGGUAGCAAACAGG
Molecule: ribosomal RNA, 253 nt
Filed under: uncultured bacterium
Lineage: Bacteria
Description: partial 16S ribosomal RNA
Rfam family: Bacterial small subunit ribosomal RNA
Source: RNAcentral